This is a long non-coding RNA of Spinacia oleracea (spinach), 1029 nucleotides long. RefSeq lists it as uncharacterized. The transcript is spliced from 5 exons. Lineage: Eukaryota; Viridiplantae; Streptophyta; Magnoliopsida; Caryophyllales; Amaranthaceae. The record is from RefSeq and is a predicted model, not a curated record.
CUCACACCCUUCUCCGCGGUGCAAUCUGGCCUUUUCUAGAUUCAAAAAAAAAACUCUCGAACUCUCCGUCUAUGUCACAAUUCUCUCUCAAACCCUAGCAUUCUUCUUCCUCCCCUCCCUGAAUCUCUCCUUGAUAUCUUCCUCCAAUCUUUAAUGGAUUCAUCUUUCUUUGAUUUUGUCCCAAGUCUUUCCAUCCUGGUCAUAGAGAGAGAAACAGAGGGCGGAAGAGAGAGAAAGACGCCGACCUUUUGCUAUGCUCAACGUUCUACCAUUUCUUCGCCAAUUGCGCUAGGAGUUUGCUUCUGAUUUGUAAGCAGUGAAGGCCAGUUUUGAUGUUGCUGGUGAUAAAUUCAAUGUUGUGCUGCUGACAAGUCCCGCAUGCUUGGAGAACAGGUUGUAAAGGGUGCUUCACGGAUCAUUGGUGUAAAUCUCAUUCAUACUUUAUUCCUCUAAAUCUGGGGUCACGCAUCAAGGAUACCUCAAAAUCUUUCGAUUUUGCGUCAAGUAUUCAACCAGGAGAGAGAUAAAGAGAGGGAGGACGCUAAACUUCGUUGCGCUCUGCUAGCAUCAAUCUCCGUCUUUGACUUUGCGGUAUUUUGCAAGACUUAUGAGUAGAAAUGAAGCCAUACAGAGAACGAAGCUCCUAAUGCAGAAAAGUUUGUCACAUGGUGCCCCCAGCCCAAAACUGUCCAAAAUGAUAGAAAUUUUAGUAGAUCAUUUCAGACAUAUGAAUAACAAGACAUAUGAAUAACAGAAGCAUAAAAGAUGCACUAAUGGCUGAGGAGAAGUUCUUCUGUAGCCGCCCGGUAUAUAGACUUGUUUCUCUUUUCUUCAUUUUAGUUUUUGAUGGAGUUGUAGAGUUUAUUGCUAACCUUUCUUUUUAGAUAUGGCGUUGGAUGCCAGUUGUAACAUGUAUGGAUGUUGGAGCAUAUAUGAAUGUUAUGUAUUAUAUACAGGUUUUUAUAUUAAUUUCCGUUUUGGCCGGGUUUCACAUAUUACAAGAGAAACUAUGGCAAAAUUUCUGCAAAA